CCUACGGGAGGCAGCAGUGGGGAAUAUUGGACAAUGGGCGAAAGCCUGAUCCAGCAAUGCCGCGUGAGUGAUGAAGGCCUUCGGGUCGUAAAGCUCUUUUACCAGGGAUGAUAAUGACAGUACCUGGAGAAUAAGCUCCGGCUAACUCCGUGCCAGCAGCCGCGGUAAUACGGAGGGAGCUAGCGUUGUUCGGAAUUACUGGGCGUAAAGAGUACGUAGGCGGUUAUUCAAGUCAGAGGUGAAAGCCCGGGGCUCAACCCCGGAACUGCCUUUGAAACUAGAUAACUAGAGUCUUGGAGAGGUUAGUGGAAUUCCGAGUGUAGAGGUGAAAUUCGUAGAUAUUCGGAAGAACACCAGUGGCGAAGGCGACUAACUGGACAAGUACUGACGCUGAGGUACGAAAGCGUGGGGAGCAAACAGGAUUAGAUACCCUGGUAGUCCACGCCGUAAACGAUGAUAACUAGUUGUUCGGUCACUUGGUGACUGAGUGACGCAGCUAACGCAUUAAGUUAUCCGCCUGGGGAGUACGGUCGCAAGNUUAAAACUCAAAAGUAUAUACGACGNGNGAGAGCGACGACGACGACGACGGAGGAGAG
This 596-nucleotide ribosomal RNA is filed under the name uncultured bacterium. RNAcentral describes it as "bacterial SSU rRNA". It matches the Rfam family "Bacterial small subunit ribosomal RNA", at positions 338 to 955 of the family's 1533-position model. The record is from RNAcentral.